Molecule: long non-coding RNA, 222 nt
Filed under: Mytilus galloprovincialis (Mediterranean mussel)
Lineage: Eukaryota; Metazoa; Mollusca; Bivalvia; Mytilida; Mytilidae
Source: RNAcentral
GAAAACGUCAAAAUGACGUCAAUUAUCGUCAAAUCAUGAACGAUAUGCAACUAAGAAUCAGAGAGACGUUAUCAUAGUAUCGUGUAAAGUAAAAUUUGAAUUAACUAUAUUACCAGCUGCUUCAAAUAAGACGAUAAUACUACAAAAGUGUUAUUCUUUCAAUUUUUUAUGAAUGACCUUUGACCCCAAUUUAAAAACAAAUGCACCAUAUUUCACUUUUAC